GACGUACUGCGCGAACGUUAUUCGGAAUCACUGGGCUUAAAGAGUUCGUAGGCGGCUCAGAAAGUUGGGUGUGAAAUCCCUCGGCUCAACCGAGGAAUUGCGCUCAAAACUACUGAGCUAGAGGGAGAUAGAGGUGAGCGGAACUGAUGGUGGAGCGGUGAAAUGCGUUGAUAUCAUCAGGAACACCGGAGGCGAAGGCGGCUCACUGGGUCUUUCCUGACGCUGAGGAACGAAAGCUAGGGGAGCGAACGGG
Molecule: ribosomal RNA, 253 nt
Filed under: uncultured bacterium
Lineage: Bacteria
Description: partial 16S ribosomal RNA
Rfam family: Bacterial small subunit ribosomal RNA
Source: RNAcentral